RNAcentral lists this ribosomal RNA (422 nucleotides) under Niallia circulans. RNAcentral's name for it is "bacterial SSU rRNA". It matches the Rfam family "Bacterial small subunit ribosomal RNA", at positions 810 to 1230 of the family's 1533-position model. The record is from RNAcentral. Lineage: Bacteria; Bacillati; Bacillota; Bacilli; Caryophanales; Bacillaceae.
UGAGUGCUAAGUGUUAGAGGGUUUCCGCCCUUUAGUGCUGCAGCAAACGCAUUAAGCACUCCGCCUGGGGAGUACGGCCGCAAGGCUGAAACUCAAAGGAAUUGACGGGGGCCCGCACAAGCGGUGGAGCAUGUGGUUUAAUUCGAAGCAACGCGAAGAACCUUACCAGGUCUUGACAUCCUCUGACACUCCUAGAGAUAGGACGUUCCCCUUCGGGGGACAGAGUGACAGGUGGUGCAUGGUUGUCGUCAGCUCGUGUCGUGAGAUGUUGGGUUAAGUCCCGCAACGAGCGCAACCCUUGAUCUUAGUUGCCAGCAUUCAGUUGGGCACUCUAAGGUGACUGCCGGUGACAAACCGGAGGAAGGUGGGGAUGACGUCAAAUCAUCAUGCCCCUUAUGACCUGGGCUACACACGUGCUACAA